Perca fluviatilis (European perch) is the source of this 2818-nucleotide long non-coding RNA. RefSeq lists it as uncharacterized. The transcript has 2 exons. The record is from RefSeq and is a predicted model, not a curated record. NCBI's taxonomy places the organism in Eukaryota, Metazoa, Chordata, Actinopteri, Perciformes, Percidae.
AUAUAUAUAUAUAUAAGCCUACAUAAGAAUCCGUUGAUUUCUUUGCCCACUUUCCCUGUUAAUCUCCUCGUUUGUUAAUGGACCGAAACACCAAGACUGCAAAUGACAAAGAAAGUUAAAGUGUGUAAUGCGACUGUUUACAAGCACGCUUAUCUGUCUCAUUCUGCCCCGUAGCAUAAAUCCCAUUGGUUGAUUGAACAGGGAGCCAUUUUCCAUUCAAAAUCAAACCAACCAAUGUUGAGCUGGGCUGCUUGAGACAAUCAGAAGGGAUUUCUAGACCAGAGUCCCACCAUCCCUCUCUUAGUUAAUGCCUGAAAAUCAUGAGAGAUGUUGUCCCCUUUGAGUUGUGGAAUUGGAUCCGAACGAACAUAAUGCCACACUGUCUGUCCAGUCUUUCUUUUACUUUUGUUUCACCUUUACCUAUGGCCAAACUUUUGUCUCAAAUUGAAACUCCUUAAUGAUUUUAUUUUUCACAGAUUAAAUCUAAAGGUGACCACAAAAUACAGCUUAUAGGGAUAAUUUUAUUUGGUAAAGUGUAAAAAAAAAAGAGGAAAAGAAAACACAAUAAGCAAAAGAACAAAUAUUUAUUCCAGUAGAAAAUAGAUGAAUAUUUGCUGGCGAUUAUUUUUAUAACAAAUGUACAUAAUGUCUUUGAGAGAUGCUAUUUGCUGUAUAACGUGCUGAAAUGAGACGAUGACGACCCAUGUGGGACACUUAAUAACAGCAAGGUCCAGUAUACAAAGUUUCAGUAAUGUGCAAUACAAAACGGCAUGCUGUUUUAAAAUGAGGAACUUCAUGUACUGUACUAUGCAACCGCAAACUGUGUACAUCGCUUCAUGCUGUGGCUUCUCCAACCACCCUUUUCCAAGCAGCUUCAUCUGGACUUUUAAUGGAUUUUUGUGUUUUAUCUUUUUUUUUUCUGUGGAAGAUGAAAACUUAAGCGGCUUAUGCGGUAUUGCAUGCAUAAUAUACCAUUCUAAUUUAUAAAAAGGCAUUUAAGAAAACUACAUGAAAUUGGAGGUGAUUGUGUUUAAGGCAAAGCUACAAGUGACUUAAAACAUUUUCUUUUUUCAAAAUAAAAGUCGUUCUAAAGUUGUCUACAGUAUAUAUAUCUAUAUAUAUAUUUAUAUAGAUAUAUAUAUUUACCAUAAUCAAUGUUGUAGUGUGGUGUAUUUUGUUGCUUUUUUAUUUUCUUGAGUUUCUAAUCAUUAACCAGGAAAUAUAAAUCCAUUUGGGGACUUGGGGAGUAUUUUUAGCCAGUUAAAAGGACCUGUGUGAAGCCUGACAUCUAGUGUUGAAAAGCAGGUAGCCUACUUCUACCUGCUGUCGGCUGCUCCACUGAUGGUCAACAGGGUUUUUUUUGAUGUUUUUUUUUUUAAAGUCAAAGCAACUUCAACGUCAACGCGUAUAUUGUUGCUAUCUAGGGGGGCUACAAUUUGAGCCUGCUUUGUUUACAUUUUGGCAAAUUCUGCCAAAGAGUGAAAAACGGAACAAAGUCCCAUCCACUGCUCUCCAAUAAGAAAUUCUACCACCGGUGAGACAGCAUAUUUCGUGAGUGAUUAUUUAUAGAUUAAUGGCUAAUUGAUUGAAUUAUCCCACCACUGUAUCUGACAGGAACAUAGUUGGAAACAAGUUGUGUGUGCGUCUACAACUAUUGUCCUUACGACCUGUCUUAAAAAUCCUCUGGUAUGUUUGUCUGCAGGCGCUGAUAGAGGAGGCCCGGGGUCCGUCCAGCUCUGGAGACCUGGAGCUCAGGUCCAAAAGACAGCAUCGCUCGCCGGCAUCCAGACACUGGUUGUGGACCACAAACGGUACAGGAGCCGAGCAGAGUUGGAUGCCACCGUCGUUCACAUGCUGGAAGAAUUUGGUGUAGGCCUAAAGCUGGUGUGUCCUCAAGAGGAUCGCUUCUUGAGGAUACUUUUAAACUGGUUUUAUAAUACUAAAGAGACACUAACAAGGUAACUGUUUACUGUUCUAAUACCCCAAACUUUCAUUUUGUUUUUCUCAGAUUGUCAUGUCCAUAAUUGGACUUCUUGUGUAUAGCAUCAUACUUGGAACAAAAUGACAUUACAAUUGUAUUAUUGUACCUUUUAAAAAAUGGAGUUGCACGUCUAAAUAAAUAAAACUAAAGGUCUUGGCAGUCCAAUUUGUAAUGCUAUCUGGAGAAAGUAUGUUGAUGUAAUUGUGAAUUUUGCUGCAGCCAGGUUAUGAAAAUAGGAAUUGAAUCUAAAAUGACUGCUAAGGUCAAGACAGAUCUUGUUAUCAUAAUCUCUUUUUGUCUCUGUGAAGAAUAGGUAACGACAGACCCUUUCUCUGCCCCUCUCUUCCUGUCUCUUGCAGAUAGAUUAGGUUAAAACCAACUAUUAACAUAUAAAGAGAAACCUUCUCCUACACAGCAGGAAAUAACCUUCUUUCAGUCUCCUCCUGGUGCCUUAGUCUGGGUUAGGACAAUAUGUUAAUUCCUGUAAACUUGUAAAGACUUGACAUCUGCACGAUAGAGCCUAUUGGUCUGUGGGUGAAAAUGACCCCUAGGGGGCAGAGUUUAGGGCAUGUCCUUCCUAAUUGGACAGCGAAGAAACCAACGAGAUGCGUCCAACCUGUCACCAUGCCAACGAAGAGCCUAUGAGGAGGGCUCUUACUCACGAAGGAGAAAAAAGUAACCGCCCCUGGGAUUGGAGGAAUAAAGCAGGGGGGCAACGGGGAUUCUGGGCGAAAUAGAUGUGGAAACUUGAGGGUUAAACAACUAUUUUCAAGGCCCGCUGCAGCGUAAUUCUCUGUAUUUUGACUUAUCAUUUUUGUUAAUAAAUCUUCAUUUGGA